AGGGAUCCCACAGAGACCUGCUCCUUCCAUUGCAGAUCACUGUCCUGGCACCGGCACUUGAGCUCCUUCCUUUUGACUAGAGACUGGAGUGAGAAUCAAACCACAGGAAAAAGCAGCUGCUGUUCUACAAGCAUAACCUUUCAACUUCUGGGUACAUCUUAUUGGAAAGGGAGCCACGUCCAGCUUACAGUUUUGACUCCAAGACUUGACAACUGAAACUGGGAGGUUUCUGACACUUUGGUGCUGCCAAGAACUGAGGUGCAUUUCUGUAGAGGACAUGUUCUCCAGACUUUACCUCAUGAUGUAUUGCACCCUUGCAUUUAUAGCCUUGUGCUUCUGUUGUCAAAGGAGAAAAAGGAAAGGGAAGGCAUGCCCUCGAAUAAAAUACAGAUGAAAGAAGACUGGGCAGCAGUUAAAUAAAGUUUUGGUCCCUGAUAAAUUUGGGAACAUUCCAACUUAAACCUGGUCUGAAUAACACACUUGUCAUUAUAAUCCACACUGAGAGUAUGUCUUUGAAAACCUAUCCUCUCUUACUCUCAAAUUUGCAGAAGGGGGUAAAAACCUGAAGAAGAAAGAAGCAAUAAUAAACUGAAGUUUCAUAGACUGAGGAUUCCCAACUUAAAAAGAUGGAAAGCAACUGUUAUUCUAGUUCUUUACUUUCAAGUAAAUGGCUAAAGAUGUAUUUAUCUCUCACCGAAGCCUCAUCAUGUUUAUCAAAUACCUCCCUUUUCAGAGAAAUAGACACCUUUUCUCUUGA
Molecule: long non-coding RNA, 757 nt
Organism: Vombatus ursinus (common wombat)
Lineage: Eukaryota; Metazoa; Chordata; Mammalia; Diprotodontia; Vombatidae
Exons: 2
Source: RefSeq, a predicted model, not a curated record